Long non-coding RNA from Trifolium pratense (red clover), 115 nucleotides. RefSeq lists it as uncharacterized. The record is from RefSeq and is a predicted model, not a curated record. NCBI's taxonomy places the organism in Eukaryota, Viridiplantae, Streptophyta, Magnoliopsida, Fabales, Fabaceae. The transcript is spliced from 3 exons.
GUGUUGCCCGUCGUUGUUGGCGGUGGAGCUGUCGAAAAUGGUGCUGCUGUGCAAAAUGGCGUGAUUCCGGCUGUGUUGCCCGUCGUUGUUGGCGGUGGAGCCGUCGAAAAUGGUG